This 57-nucleotide transfer RNA is filed under the name Ictidomys tridecemlineatus (thirteen-lined ground squirrel). Its description in RNAcentral is "Spermophilus tridecemlineatus (thirteen-lined ground squirrel) tRNA". It matches the Rfam family "tRNA", at positions 8 to 63 of the family's 71-position model. Rfam says of the family: Transfer RNA (tRNA) molecules are approximately 80 nucleotides in length. Their secondary structure includes four short double-helical elements and three loops (D, anti-codon, and T loops). Lineage: Eukaryota; Metazoa; Chordata; Mammalia; Rodentia; Sciuridae. The record is from Rfam by way of RNAcentral.
UGGCUCAGUGGUAGAGCACUCACCUAACAUGCGGGAGGCCCUGGGUUCGAUCCUCAG